This 28-nucleotide small RNA is filed under the name Bombyx mori (domestic silkworm). RNAcentral's name for it is "ovarian small RNA-9949". Lineage: Eukaryota; Metazoa; Arthropoda; Insecta; Lepidoptera; Bombycidae. The record is from RNAcentral.
AAACCUAUCAUUGUUGAGCAUUUUUACU